Molecule: ribosomal RNA, 288 nt
Filed under: uncultured Gammaproteobacteria bacterium
Lineage: Bacteria; Pseudomonadati; Pseudomonadota; Gammaproteobacteria
Description: partial 16S ribosomal RNA
Rfam family: Bacterial small subunit ribosomal RNA
Source: RNAcentral
UCUUCGACCUGCGCUAUUGAUGAGCCUGUCGAUUAGCUAGUUGGUGGGGUAAAGGCCCACCAAGGCGACGAUCCGUAGCUGGUCUGAGAGGAUGAUCAGCCACACUGGGACUGAGACACGGCCCAGACUCCUACGGGAGGCAGCAGUGGGGNAUAUUGCGCAAUGGGGGAAACCCUGANGCAGCCAUGCCGCGUGUGCGAAGAAGGCCUUAGGGUUGUAAAGCACUUUCAAUGGGGAGAAAAGUCUUACGGUUAAUAACUGUGAGAGUUGAUGUUACCUAUAGAAGAA